GCGCUAACUUCUCCAAUUUAGCCAAAGCGAGUUGCACGUUUAACGUAACAAACUGCUCAGUAACACGUGGCCAAACUGCCCUAUGGAUCGGUAUAACCUCGGGAAACUGAGGCUAAUCCCGAAUAGUGCAUCCAGCCUGGAACUGGCGGAUGUGCGAAACGCUCCGGCGCCAUAGGAUGUGGCUGCGGCCGAUUAGGUAGACGGUGGGGUAACGGCCCACCGUGCCGAUAAUCGGUACGGGUCAUGAGAGUGAGAGCCCGGAGACGGACUCUGAGACACGAGUCCGGGCCCUACGGGGCGCAGCAGGCGCGAAACCUUUACACUGCACGACAGUGCCGAUAGGGGGACACCGAGUGCGAGGGCAUAGAGCCCUCGCUUUUGUAGACCGUAAGGAGGUCUACGAAUAAGGGCUGGGCAAGACCGGUGCCAGCCGCCGCGGUAACACCGGCAGCCCAAGUGAUGGCCGAUAUUAUUGGGCCUAAAGCGUCCGUAGCUGGCCGCGNAAGUUCGUCGGGAAAUCCACUCGCUUAACGAGUGGGCGUCCGGCGAAAACUGUGCGGCUUGGGACCGGAAGAUCCAAGGGGUACGUCCGGGGUAGGAGUGAAAUCCCGUAAUCCUGGACGGACCACCGAUGGCGAAAGCACCUUGGAAGGACGGAUCCGACAGUGAGGGGACGAAAGCUAGGGUCUNGAACCGGAUUAGANACCCNGGUANUCCUAACCGUUAACAAUGCUCG
RNAcentral lists this ribosomal RNA (736 nucleotides) under uncultured archaeon. RNAcentral's name for it is "bacterial SSU rRNA". It matches the Rfam family "Archaeal small subunit ribosomal RNA", at positions 27 to 766 of the family's 1478-position model. The record is from RNAcentral.